AGAUUAUUGUAAUUUUUAGUUGGGAACAAAGUUAUUGUUUGUGUUUUUUGUUUGCAUUCAAAAUUUAAAAUUAAGCCACCAUUAAAACAAGCGGUUUAGCCUCGCGAUUCGAACAAAUCUUUGGGAACUAUUUGUGAAAUAAAGGCCAAGAUAUGGGGAAAAAGGGUGGAAAGGGAAAAGGAAAGGGAAAGAAGGGAAGGAAGACGAUGGCAAAAUCUAUAUUCGUCCCUUCUGAGCCAGCUCCACCAGCUAAACCUGCUUUUAACAGAAGUCUGCCGUUGUACUCCUUUGACCUUAUUAUAACCCGCUUGGAAAUAAAGGGCGUGGCACUAAACGAUCCGCGAAAACUAGUGGUGAAGGUCAGUUUCGGAGAAAAUAACCUCUCUUUAACAGCUAGUCGGACCAAUGUGAGCGCUUUCAAGCCAGAUGCCAGCCUGAUCUUCCAGUCGGUGCCGAUGGAGUUGUCCACGAAACUCCAGGAGAAUGGCAUCGCCUUUGAGGUGGUCUACGAUGAAUUAACUGUUGGCAAGGGAAAUGCGGCUCUUCCCAAAAGGCUUACCAACAAUGUGGGCUGGAACAUGAAGGAGUUCAACUAUACAAGCACCUGUGCCCUGGGAACUUUGGAAAAACCAGAUGUUCAAAUUGGUGCUUUAGAAUUUCUGUGCAAGCUGUUCAUCAAAUGCAGUGAUUAUGCCAGGAAGGGAGAAACGUGCCCAAAUCUGAAUAGGAACAUCAACCCAAAUGACAUAGUAUUCGUUAUUGCCAAAUCGCCAAAUAGUCCCACCGAUUGUGAUGCCUGCAGAGGUGUCCUCGAAGCCGAGGCUAGAAAGGACCAGCCAAAGGACUAUUCCAUUAGUCAAGAUCCGCGUUGUGGCUAUUAACCCAGAAUUCAUUAGGCUUUACUUCUAUAAACUACACUUCUAUAAACAAUUUCGUACCUUGUUUUUUUGCUUUGAGUGGAAAGUACCAAGAGCAACACGUGGGCGGAGGCGUAGCCGCUUGGAACACGAACACGGCAGCAUGUUCUGAUUGUGGCUUUGCAUGUAGCUGACAAUCCCUAAGCGGACAAGCAGCCAUUCGACAACAUCAUUUUCGGGUGUGCGCGACAAGUGUUGGGUCUGCCCAGAACCGGUCGCAGGAUUCACAAAAUCCAGAGCCAUGGAUACGAACCAGGAGCUCUCGGGUCAGUCCGCAUGUCAUUAAUUACCAGGACUGGUGUGGGUUAGGCGACAAAUCGCCCUAACCCGAGAACAAAACCACACACACGGGCAAGUGGGACGAAUGGCAUAUGCAAAUCAUCGCCGAUGACGGUCUCCUUUUUUCAAGCAUUUCGAUUCCGAUUUUACGGCAGGAAAUGAACAGUCUGCAGCAAUUGCAAAAACCAAAACCAAAAACCGAAACCGAAAUACCCAAGUCGCUGUGCGGAGUGAGAGCUUUCGGUUUUAGGUUCCGGAUCCGGGUCUGGCGCCAUAUGCCGCAUCAUUUUGGCUUGUGCAGGAAAUCAAACAGAAUAAUUCAAUUUCAAUACAAAGACGCACUAACACACACUGCGGCACAUUCGCACCACCGGGAUGGAGGCCCUCAAGGAUGGCACGGACGAUGGAAGACGAAUCGACGACAAAGCGGAAACGGAAGUUUAUGUAAUUGUAUUCACAUACAAAUUCAAUUUCGUUUUCGGCACGAAAAUUGAUUUCCAUGUGACGAAAGCCUCCUCGUUCCUAUCCACACUUCCCGCGGGAACCUACUGCGACGUCAUAUCCGGCUCAAAGAGUGGAUGUUCCUGCACUGGCAAGACCGUCACUGUCGGAUCUGAUGGAAGGGCCAAACUCUCCAUCGGCAGCUCCGAGGACGAAGGUGUUCUGGCCACUCAUGUCAAAGCAAAGUUGUAAAGCACCCUAUUUAACCAGAAAUUUCUAAAUAUAUAAUGCAUAUUAAAAAAUA
Drosophila ananassae is the source of this 1941-nucleotide RNA transcript. RefSeq lists it as uncharacterized. The transcript is spliced from 3 exons. NCBI's taxonomy places the organism in Eukaryota, Metazoa, Arthropoda, Insecta, Diptera, Drosophilidae. The record is from RefSeq and is a predicted model, not a curated record.